AUCCUACGGGGCGCAGCAGUGGGGAAUAUUGCACAAUGGGGGAAACCCUGAUGCAGCGACGCCGCGUGGGCGAGGAAGUACCUCGGUAUGUAAAGCCCUAUCAGCAGGGAAGAAACAGGACAGUACCUGACUAAGAAGCCCCGGCUAACUACGUGCCAGCAGCCGCGGUAAUACGUAGGGGGCAAGCGUUAUCCGGAUUCACUGGGCGUAAAGGGAGCGCAGGCGGCAUGGCAAGUCAGUAGUGAAAUCCAUGGGCUUAACCCAUGAACUGCUAUUGAAACUGUCGAGCUUGAGUGAAGUAGAGG
This 305-nucleotide ribosomal RNA is filed under the name uncultured bacterium. RNAcentral's name for it is "bacterial SSU rRNA". It matches the Rfam family "Bacterial small subunit ribosomal RNA", at positions 335 to 657 of the family's 1533-position model. The record is from RNAcentral.